CCUACGGGAGGCUGCAGUAGGGAAUCUUCCGCAAUGGACGAAAGUUUGACGGAGCAACGCCGCGUGAGUGAAGAAGGUUUUCGGAUCGUAAAACUCUGUUGUAAGGGAAGAACAAGUACGUUAGUAACUGAACGUACCUUGACGGUACCUUACCAGAAAGCCACGGCUAACUACGUGCCAUCAGCCGCGGUUAUACGUUGGUUGCAAGCGUUAUCCGGGAUUAUUUGGCGGAAAGCGCGCGUAGGCGGUGUCUUUAGUAUGAUUAUACAGCCCCCGGCGCAACCCGGGAGGGUCACUUGCAAGUAGGAGACUUGAGUGCAGAAGAGGAGAGUGGAAUUCCAUGUGUAGCGGUGAUAUGCGCAGAGAUAUGGGGGGACGCCAGUGGCGAAGGCGGCUUUCUGGUCUGUCACUGACGCUGAGGUGCGAAAGCGUGGGGAUCAAACAGGAUUAGAUACCCCAGUAGUC
RNAcentral lists this ribosomal RNA (465 nucleotides) under uncultured Macrococcus sp. RNAcentral describes it as "bacterial SSU rRNA". It matches the Rfam family "Bacterial small subunit ribosomal RNA", at positions 338 to 795 of the family's 1533-position model. The record is from RNAcentral. Lineage: Bacteria; Bacillati; Bacillota; Bacilli; Caryophanales; Staphylococcaceae.